CUACGGGUCGCUGCAGUGAGGAAUAUUGGUCAAUGGACGCGAGUCUGAACCAGCCAUCCCGCGUGCAGGAUGACGGCCCUAUGGGUUGUAAACUGCUUUUCUACGCCAAGAAACCUGGUUACGAGUAACCAGCUGACGGUAGCGUAGGAAUAAGCAUCGGCUAACUCCGUGCCAGCAGCCGCGGUAAUACGGAGGAUGCAAGCGUUAUCCGGAUUCAUUGGGUUUAAAGGGUGCGCAGGUGGGCUUGUAAGUCAGUGGUGAAAUACUGCCGCUUAACGGUAGAACUGCCAUUGAUACUGGGAGUCUUGAGUAUGGUUGAGGUAGGCGGAAUGUGUUGUGUAGCGGUGAAAUGCAUAGAUAUGACACAGAACGCCGAUUGCGAAGGCAGCUUACUAAGCCAUUACUGACGCUGAGGCACGAAAGCGUGGGGAGCGAACAGGAUUAGAUACCCUUGUAGUC
RNAcentral lists this ribosomal RNA (459 nucleotides) under uncultured bacterium. RNAcentral's name for it is "partial 16S ribosomal RNA". It matches the Rfam family "Bacterial small subunit ribosomal RNA", at positions 339 to 795 of the family's 1533-position model. The record is from RNAcentral.